Oncorhynchus keta (chum salmon) is the source of this 1804-nucleotide long non-coding RNA. RefSeq lists it as uncharacterized. NCBI's taxonomy places the organism in Eukaryota, Metazoa, Chordata, Actinopteri, Salmoniformes, Salmonidae. The transcript is spliced from 4 exons. The record is from RefSeq and is a predicted model, not a curated record.
AGAGAGCAGGGUAUCCCAGGCCCAUUAAGUAACGACCGUGCUGCUAUUAAGUAAUGUUCCACUGAGUAACGUCUGGCCAUGUCUCACUGGAAGUCAAAGAAGGGAGGCGCACAGCAGGAGGAGAAGAAAGAGGAGAUCCGCAGUCUUCAGGAGCAGCUGGCUGCCUUGAAGGAGAUCAGUGUGUCAAAAAGGCUCCCCAAAACAACCUGGCAGAUGCAGGAGAUGACCAGUCUUCAGUUGUCAACCACUUAGACAAGAUGCGUCCUUCACUGAAGAUGGACUGGACCUGCACUAUUGCUGCGCCGCUGUGACCAAUGUAGGCAAAUGCCAGCAUGGCUCCAAGCUGGAUUUAAAUAGGUAACUUCCAAGGCCACUUGCAAGUAACUUCUAUCUAUGAAAUGACAAUGUCCCAUGAUUGAUGAAAUACCAUGAGGAUGAUGGGGAACCAGGAGGAGCUUUGGGUGGAGUGAGGAUAUGACCGUGUAGUGUAGACACAUUGACGUGUGGUUUUGUGUGUCCUUGUUUUGGCGGCUGAAGUGUUUAUUUGUGGAGGAUGUUGUGUGUCUCAGGUGGUUGAGAUAAUCAGCCUCACAGAGCACCUGUUGGGGGAGUGUGAGAACAGGGCUGGGUUCAGCCAGUGCCCCCGGUGUUCAGAGGCUGUGCUCACGGACAAGCUCACCCGCCACACCCAGAGCCCUGUCUGCAACAGUGAGUCUCAACGCUCCUCUAGCACCGUCUAACUAUGCUAACGGCUAACUAUGCUAAUAGCAAAACCUGCUAGAUCCUAACCCUGCUAACAGCUUUAUUUAACAAGACAAGUCAGUUAAGAACAAAUUCCUAUUUACAAUGAUGACCUACCCCGGCCAAACCCUCCCCUUCCGAUCACGGCUGGUUGUGAUACAGCCUGGAAUCGAACCAGUAAAGAGUCUGAGUGGGGAGGGGAAAAAAGGGGUCAGCUUUGGCCUUCAGGCUCAAAGGGGGCGGGGGGAUAUAACUGUCAAACAAAACAUUUUUCAAAGAAAUCAAAGUACAAAGUACAUUUUCAAACAAACAAAAGGUAAGCAAAAAGCUGUGCCCUGCUAACCCUGCUAACUGCUAACCUUGCCAACAGCUAACCCUGCCAAACCCUUGAUCCAGCAUUAGUCCAUGGUUGCCAGAAUCCCUUCCCUUCUUUUAGUCUUUGUACACAAGUGUAUUCUCACAGCCAAAGGUAUCGAGUCUGUUGUGCUUGACUCUUGUACGCUUUUGUUAUUCUUUCAUUCAUGUCUGCCUAUUAACCCUCAAGGGCUCUUAACAGUGAAGCCAGUUGGGGUGUCAAGUAAGCUCAUUAAAACAGUACUGUGUAAAUGACUGGUAGAAAGGAAACAUUCUCACUGAGAGGUAACAUCACUCCACGGAGGUGAUAUUGUGGAAUUCAACCUAUGUGUCCAAUCGUUUGAAUCUACAGCUUGAAUAGUGCUGAAUAAUAGGUAUAGACAAACAUCCUUUUGGUUUGAGAGCGAAUGGGAACGUAUAAAACAAUACCAUGGUAAUGUUAUAAUAAAUAGAAACCACAACAUCAACUAGGAAAUCAACUCUGAACAUGUUUGUUUUGCCAGGCCAACUACAGAGACAUUCAACAUAUACUAAAUGACUAAAAGUAUGUGAACACCUGCUCGUCGUACAUCUCAUUCCAAAAUCAUGGGCAUUAAUAUGGAGUUGGUCCCCCCUAUGCUGCUACAACAGCCUCCACUCUUCUGGGAAGGCUUUCACUCCAUGUUGGAACAUUGCUGCAGGGACUUGCUUCCAUUCAGCCACAAGAGCA